This 465-nucleotide ribosomal RNA is filed under the name Vreelandella stevensii. Its description in RNAcentral is "partial 16S ribosomal RNA". It matches the Rfam family "Bacterial small subunit ribosomal RNA", at positions 338 to 795 of the family's 1533-position model. The record is from RNAcentral. Lineage: Bacteria; Pseudomonadati; Pseudomonadota; Gammaproteobacteria; Oceanospirillales; Halomonadaceae.
CCUACGGGUGGCAGCAGUGGGGAAUAUUGGACAAUGGGGGGAACCCUGAUCCAGCCAUGCCGCGUGUGUGAAGAAGGCCCUCGGGUUGGAAAGCACUUUCAGUGAGGAAGAACGCCUGGUGGUUAAUACCCAUCAGGAAAGACAUCACUCACAGAAGAAGCACCGGCUAACUCCGUGCCAGCAGCCGCGGUAAUACGGAGGGUGCGAGCGUUAAUCGGAAUUACUGGGCGUAAAGCGCGCGUAGGUGGCUUGAUAAGCCGGUUGUGAAAGCCCCGGGCUCAACCUGGGAACGGCAUCCGGAACUGUCAAGCUAGAGUGCAAGAGAGGAAGGUAGAAUUCCCGGUGUAGCGGUGAAAUGCGUAGAGAUCGGGAGGAAUACCAGUGGCGAAGGCGGCCUUCUGGACUGACACUGACACUGAGGUGCGAAAGCGUGGGUAGCAAACAGGAUUAGAUACCCGGGUAGUC